CGUUAGAUCACCGAAGUUAAGCAUCGUAGAGCCAGGUCAGUACUUAGAUAUGAGACGGCUUGGGAACACCUGGUAUUGA
This 79-nucleotide ribosomal RNA is filed under the name Acanthosepion pharaonis. The record is from RNAcentral. Lineage: Eukaryota; Metazoa; Mollusca; Cephalopoda; Sepiida; Sepiidae.